Molecule: ribosomal RNA, 253 nt
Filed under: uncultured bacterium
Lineage: Bacteria
Description: partial 16S ribosomal RNA
Rfam family: Bacterial small subunit ribosomal RNA
Source: RNAcentral
UACGUAGGGUGCGAGCGUUGUCCGGAAUUACUGGGCGUAAAGAGCUCGUAGGUGGUUUGUCGCGUUGUUCGUGAAAACUCACAACUCAAUUGUGGGCGUGCGGGCGAUACGGGCAGACUGGAGUACUGCAGGGGAGACUGGAAUUCCUGGUGUAGCGGUGGAAUGCGCAGAUAUCGAGAGGAACACCUGCGGCGAAGGCGGGUUGCUGGGCCGACACUGACGCUGAUGCGCGAAAGCCAGGGGAGCGAACGGG